UUAGCAGUAGCAGCAGAAGGAUGGAAAGAACUUGAAGAAGAUUGGGCAGUAUGUAGGGGAAGACUUUGGGAAGAUUCAAAAGGGGUAUUUAGACCUGGAGAUAAUGAAGGAGACGAUGAUAGUGAAAAAGGAGGAGAGGGAAAUUGAGCAUAAGGCGGAGAGGAAAAUAAGAAAGGACUCAAAUCAUGGUUGUUAUUCCCCAUUGAAGGAGGGAGGGAGAGAUGGAUCUAAUGAAAAUUGAAGAAGCCAAGUGAAAGGAGGGGUUAUAAAGGUCUUCAC
RNAcentral lists this unclassified non-coding RNA (279 nucleotides) under Hevea brasiliensis (rubber tree). The record is from RNAcentral. Lineage: Eukaryota; Viridiplantae; Streptophyta; Magnoliopsida; Malpighiales; Euphorbiaceae.